This 465-nucleotide ribosomal RNA is filed under the name uncultured bacterium. RNAcentral's name for it is "bacterial SSU rRNA". It matches the Rfam family "Bacterial small subunit ribosomal RNA", at positions 338 to 795 of the family's 1533-position model. The record is from RNAcentral.
CCUACGGGAGGCAGCAGUAGGGAAUUUUCGGCAAUGGGGGGAACCCUGACCGAGCAACGCCGCGUGAGCGAGGACGGCCUUCGGGUUGUAAAGCUCUGUCAUGUGGGAAGAACGGCUAGGAGAGGGCAUGCUCUUAGCGUGACGGUACCACAGGAGGAAGCCCCGGCUAACUACGCGCCAGCAGCCGCGGUAACACGUAGGGGGCGAGCGUUGUCCGGAAUUAUUGGGCGUAAAGGGCGCGCAGGCGGUCUCUUAAGUCUGAUGUGAAAGGCCACGGCUCAACCGUGGGAUGGCAUUGGAAACUGGGGGACUUGAGUGCAGGAGAGGGGAGCGGAAUUCCCGGUGUAGCGGUGAAAUGCGUAGAGAUCGGGAGGAACACCAGUGGCGAAGGCGGCUCUCUGGCCUGUAACUGACGCUGAGGCGCGAAAGCGUGGGGAGCGAACAGGAUUAGAUACCCUUGUAGUC